AGAGAUAAAGAAAGUUGUGAAAAAAAGGGCAAAAUGUAGGUGAAAACAAAAUUGGGAGUCAAGUAUUUUUCUGUAUUGCACGAUCCUUGGCUUUGCAGAAUUUGUUUGAUUUCUGUCAGUGGUCCUGUGCAUUCUAUUUUCAAAUUUGUCUUUGAAUAUUGUCCUCAAUUCAAUUACAACUUUCCAUUAGUUCAGACAACAACCGGGGGACAUUAUCAGUAACGUAUCAGUAAAAUUACUAGGGUGUGGGAUUCAUAAAUGAAAAACUGAGUAAUUGCAUUUUGCUUGUGUUCUAACCACAGUGUAGGAUCUACAAUAAUACAGGGUUAAGGUAAACUAUUGGUAUAUUCUUUGAAGGAAUAUUUACAGUGUAGAAGCAAAAGGACGUUGCUUUGCAACAUUAGGGGUACUCGGAUAAGUUAAAGUGUCAGACCUGCAUCAGACACCCUCUAAGUGCGCAAUUAUUCCACAUUUGUGCUCUGUAGGGACAGUUGGUUCCACUACUGUCAUUGUGAUUCUUGUAUUCUUUUAUCACGGAAAUAUGGAAAAGGAGUUAUUGUUCCUUUCUGUGCUUUGUGGCACAUCGGGCAGCAACCUUGCCGUUCCUUUAGCAUUUUUGAUUAUUCGACCCAGCGUGGACGGAAAGCAUGCAAGGAGCCAGCUGGAUUCGAACUCGGGACCACUCGCCCUGAAGUUCAGUGUGGAUGCCACUACACCACCAGCCGGCUGCAGAAAAAUAAAACUUUAUUUUUUAUUGUGGGACACAGAAGUCCAACACAUGGUGGCUUCACAGACACAUGGAGUCCCUGUUCUUCAUUUCUGACACCUCCUGCUUUUAUCGUACUGGAUGAAGCAUAUUCCUUUUCUCUAAGUAUUGUCUGUGAUUUUUACAAAGACUGUUGAAGAAUUGGGAGAGAAAUAUAACCUGAUUAGAAAACAUGAGUAUACAAUAACAUGUAAUUAAGAAAAUAAAAAUACACAUAUUAGUUUGAAUAUUUAAAAGAUGUAAAUACAAUGGAUGUAAAAUUAAGGUAUAGAGAUUUUGGCAUGGACUAGAUGGGCUGAAGGGCCUGUUUCUGUGAUGUUCUUCUCAAUGACUCUAUGGGCUAUUCAUAAUACAUAAUGAUAAACUCACAAAUGAGAGUAUGCAGAUUUAUAAUGUGCUAUUAUUGGAUUGAUGUUCUGGAGAAAUAUUGGUGUAUUACCACUUCUUUUUUUGGUAAGAAAAUUCUUCCUUUAUUGCUAUAAUAAUCUUCUUUCCCUCCUCCUGAGCUUUGGUGUCAGAUGUAUUGCCAAUCCUGAACAAGAUCUCUGCAGCAGCAUUUCAUGUGAUUUCCAUCAGCCCUGGUCUGUUUUAUGAAAAAUUUGACCACCUAACAGUUGGAUUAAACAUCUGGGUCUAAACAGUGAGCAUGGAGGCAAAUAAUACAGCUUCGGUUGGCCCUCACGUGGUACCAGAGAUGUGCAGUGGGCAAUAUCCAUAUUCAUCAAACCAACACCCGCAGCCCACAUAGUAUUGGACUAUGAAUGAAGCAACGCUUUCUGUGAUUAAUUUGGGGCGGCCCACUGGUGCAGCUCGUAGGUCUUCAGUCUCAAAGCUCCAGCAUCCCGGGUCCAACCCUAAUCCCUGGUGUUGUCUGCGGAGAAUUCACACCAGGUGGGUUUCAUAGGGGUGCUCCGGUUUCCUUCCACAUCAUAAAGAGAUGUAGGGUGAUUCAAGCCCUGAUGCGUAGGUGAGUGAUAAACUCUGUGGAAGUUGAUAGUGCAGGUUUUUGCAAAUAAAACAGCAGAGACGGUUUUAAGUUUAAGGGAAGCCAUGACAACUCUUUUAUUGUUCUCCAAACACAGAACACGCUGCGCCGUACAAAACUUCAUCUGAACUCGUCAUCAUGUCAGACCAGCCUCUUAAAGUGAACCCCAGCUUGGAGUCGGUGGCUGUGAAUUAGGUACGUUACCCUACAACAGAGGAAGGUUUUACAAGGGGGAGAAAGUGGGAAGCUGGUGCUCUGAGCCGGCAUAGAGUCGAUUGCCUGAAAUGGCCUCCUUCCAUAUAAUAAGGAAAUAUGGAAGGAGCAUAAAGGAUUGCAGUUAAGGCCGAUGGAACAAGCUAGCCUUUGUAAUUUGCGCAACAGUGAAGUAUUUAUGCACCAAAACUGUAUCUGAAGCAUAAGUGAUACUUUAUAUUACCAAAACAACACUAAUGUUGCCAAGACCAGCCCUUUUGCUUUAAUACUGAAGGAAUAUAAAGAGUAUACCAGCAGUAUGAUUGUGGACUUUUCAAUAAGGAUCAGUGGACAUCAUUAGGGUCGGAAACCUUAUACUUUCUCAAUUUAAGUGCUCAGAGAAUAAUUCGUGGUCGCCCCUCGCAACCGAGCACAGCUUUUGAGUAAAUGUGGAACUUGCUUCAUCAGGUGAUGCACAGGCCAUUAAUUCACCUCCCAUGACAUUGACCUUUGGUUUGUCUUCAAUAAAUUGAACAGAGGAGGAUGAAUUAAAGAAAAUACAGAAAUACACAAGUGACUUUAACGGAGUGCAGAUGUGUCCAAUCACUAACAAGAGAAAAUCUGCAAAUGCUGGAUCAGACCAGACGGAAUCCAAUGUGUCUCAGCUUCACUGUAUGGCCUCUCAGCUGGACUGUAUGGACCAGCAGUAAUAUUAACUUGGACAACAACAAAGUACAUAGCUACAAGGCAAAGAAGAUAAUGUUGUCACAAGCUGCGGUCUAACUAACUGGCAGACACGCAAAGACAUCCAUGAAACAGAAGAAAAACCACAAAGAAUGAAUGGCAGAAAAAUGUUCAAACUCCAAAGCUUGCCCCUCCCAAGCAGAAGCAGCAGCAAAAGCAUCAACUUCCCCUACCCCCUCCUUUUGCCUGCCUCAACAAAAGCAUCAGCAUCCCCCUCGCCACCCACUAUGCAAGGAAUAGCAAGUCCCCAAAGAGACCAUGAGCUAGAGGCCAUCACAAAUUACUUUCCACCGGACAGUCUGACAUGCCAUCGGCUCUUUCUCUUCCUAACGUGGAGGAGAGAGGCAUUGCUCCUGCCAACAGCUCGCUGUUUCUGCGUUACAGUAUCUGAUGAAUGAUAAUACUAACACCAGAUACAGAAGAAGGACAUUUAGCUGUUGUAGACUUAAUUACUGCAAUUUACAAUUCAUCUAGUUUACCAUUGGCACCAACCUGUUGCUUCCAUAUGAUGUAAGCUAUUAAAAUAAUAGAUUAUCCCAAAAUUCAUUCAAAUUAACAGUUUUAUCAAGACACCAACAUACUUCUUAU
Hypanus sabinus (Atlantic stingray) is the source of this 3275-nucleotide long non-coding RNA. RefSeq lists it as uncharacterized. The transcript has 3 exons. The record is from RefSeq and is a predicted model, not a curated record. NCBI's taxonomy places the organism in Eukaryota, Metazoa, Chordata, Chondrichthyes, Myliobatiformes, Dasyatidae.